GUGGCAGCCGCCGCGGUAAUACGGAGGGUGCGAGCGUUAAUCGGAAUUACUGGGCGUAAAGGGCGCGUAGGCGGUCGCGCAAGUCGGGUGUGAAAGCCCCGGGCUCAACCUGGGAAUUGCAUUCGAUACUGCGUAACUAGAGUCUGGUAGAGGGAAGCGGAAUUCCGCAUGUAGCGGUGAAAUGCGUAGAUAUGCGGAGGAACACCAGUGGCGAAGGCGGCUUCCUGGACCAAGACUGACGCUGAGGCGCGAAAGCGUGGGGAGCAAACAGGAUUAGAUACCCUGGUAGUCCACGCCCUAAACGAUGAGGACUAGACGUUGGGGGGAUAAAACCCUUUAGUGUCGCAGCUAACGCGUGAAGUCCUCCGCCUGGGGAGUACGGCCGCAAGGUUGAAACUUAAAGGAAUUGACGG
This 413-nucleotide ribosomal RNA is filed under the name uncultured bacterium. Its description in RNAcentral is "bacterial SSU rRNA". It matches the Rfam family "Bacterial small subunit ribosomal RNA", at positions 505 to 916 of the family's 1533-position model. The record is from RNAcentral.